This 1378-nucleotide ribosomal RNA is filed under the name Nocardia sp. 171743. Its description in RNAcentral is "bacterial SSU rRNA". It matches the Rfam family "Bacterial small subunit ribosomal RNA". Lineage: Bacteria; Bacillati; Actinomycetota; Actinomycetes; Mycobacteriales; Nocardiaceae. The record is from RNAcentral.
GCAAGUCGAGCGGUAAGGCCCUUCGGGGUACACGAGCGGCGAACGGGUGAGUAACACGUGGGUGAUCUGCCUCGUACUCUGGGAUAAGCCUGGGAAACUGGGUCUAAUACCGGAUAUGACCACGAAUCGCAUGGUUUGUGGUGGAAAGAUUUAUCGGUGCGAGAUGGGCCCGCGGCCUAUCAGCUUGUUGGUGGGGUAAUGGCCUACCAAGGCGACGACGGGUAGCCGGCCUGAGAGGGCGACCGGCCACACUGGGACUGAGACACGGCCCAGACUCCUACGGGAGGCAGCAGUGGGGAAUAUUGCACAAUGGGCGGAAGCCUGAUGCAGCGACGCCGCGUGAGGGAUGACGGCCUUCGGGUUGUAAACCUCUUUCGACAGGGACGAAGCGCAAGUGACGGUACCUGUAGAAGAAGCACCGGCCAACUACGUGCCAGCAGCCGCGGUAAUACGUAGGGUGCGAGCGUUGUCCGGAAUUACUGGGCGUAAAGAGCUUGUAGGCGGUUCGUCGCGUCGAUCGUGAAAACUUGCAGCUCAACUGCGAGCUUGCGGUCGAUACGGGCGGACUAGAGUACUGCAGGGGAGACUGGAAUUCCUGGUGUAGCGGUGAAAUGCGCAGAUAUCAGGAGGAACACCGGUGGCGAAGGCGGGUCUCUGGGCAGUAACUGACGCUGAGAAGCGAAAGCGUGGGUAGCGAACAGGAUUAGAUACCCUGGUAGUCCACGCCGUAAACGGUGGGCGCUAGGUGUGGGUUUCCUUCCACGGGAUCCGUGCCGUAGCUAACGCAUUAAGCGCCCCGCCUGGGGAGUACGGCCGCAAGGCUAAAACUCAAAGGAAUUGACGGGGGCCCGCACAAGCGGCGGAGCAUGUGGAUUAAUUCGAUGCAACGCGAAGAACCUUACCUGGGUUUGACAUACACCAGAAAGCUGCAGAGAUGUAGCCCCCCUUGUGGUUGGUGUACAGGUGGUGCAUGGCUGUCGUCAGCUCGUGUCGUGAGAUGUUGGGUUAAGUCCCGCAACGAGCGCAACCCUUGUCCUGUGUUGCCAGCGCGUUAUGGCGGGGACUCGCAGGAGACUGCCGGGGUCAACUCGGAGGAAGGUGGGGACGACGUCAAGUCAUCAUGCCCCUUAUGUCCAGGGCUUCACACAUGCUACAAUGGCCGGUACAGAGGGCUGCGAUACCGUGAGGUGGAGCGAAUCCCUUAAAGCCGGUCUCAGUUCGGAUCGGGGUCUGCAACUCGACCCCGUGAAGUUGGAGUCGCUAGUAAUCGCAGAUCAGCAACGCUGCGGUGAAUACGUUCCCGGGCCUUGUACACACCGCCCGUCACGUCAUGAAAGUCGGUAACACCCGAAGCCGGUGGCCUAACCCUUGUGGAGGG